GAAAAUUUGCUCUUUGAGUAUUUUGUCCAGUAGGUUUCCUCUAGGAGAAAGCCCCC
Molecule: non-coding RNA, 56 nt
Organism: Salmo salar (Atlantic salmon)
Lineage: Eukaryota; Metazoa; Chordata; Actinopteri; Salmoniformes; Salmonidae
Source: Rfam